CCUACGGGAGGCUGCAGUGAGGAAUAUUGGUCAAUGGUCGGGAGACUGAACCAGCCAAGCCGCGUGAGGGAUGAAGGUACAGAGUAUCGUAAACCUCUUUUGUCAGGGAACAAAGGCGGGGACGUGUCCCCGGAUGGGUGUACCUGAAGAAAAAGCAUCGGCUAACUCCGUGCCAGCAGCCGCGGUAAUACGGAGGAUACGAGCCUUGUCCGGAUUUAUGGGGUUUAAAGGGGGCGCAGGCGGUUUGGUAAGUCAGCGGUCAAGGCCCGGGGCUCAACCCCGUCCCGCUGUUGAAACUGGCAGUCUCGAGUUGGAGAGAAGGAUGCGGAAUGCGCGGUGUAGCGGUGAAAUGCAUAGAUAUCGCGCAGAACUCCGAUUGCGAAGGCAGCAUGCCGGCUCCACACUGACGCUGAGGCACGAAAGCGUGGGUAUCGAACAGGAUUAGAUACCCGGGUAGUC
RNAcentral lists this ribosomal RNA (459 nucleotides) under uncultured bacterium. RNAcentral describes it as "partial 16S ribosomal RNA". It matches the Rfam family "Bacterial small subunit ribosomal RNA", at positions 338 to 795 of the family's 1533-position model. The record is from RNAcentral.